This 496-nucleotide ribosomal RNA is filed under the name uncultured bacterium. Its description in RNAcentral is "partial 16S ribosomal RNA". It matches the Rfam family "Bacterial small subunit ribosomal RNA", at positions 28 to 507 of the family's 1533-position model. The record is from RNAcentral.
GAUGAACGCUGGCGGCGUGCCUAAUACAUGCAAGUCGAGCGAACAGACGAGGAGCUUGCUCCUCUGACGUUAGCGGCGGACGGGUGAGUAACACGUGGAUAACCUACCUAUAAGACUGGGAUAACUUCGGGAAACCGGAGCUAUACCGGGAAAUAUAUUGGACCGCCUGGGUCAAUAGGUAAAGGCGGGUUUUGUUUUCACUAUAGAUGGAUUCGGGCCGGCUUAGCUUGGUGGUAAGGUAACGGCUUACCAAGGCAACGAUGCGUAGCCGACCUGAGAGGGUGAUCGGCCACACUGGAACUGAGACACGGUCCAGACUCCUACGGGUGGCAGCAGUAGGGAAUCUUCCGCAAUGGGCGAAAGCCUGACGGAGCAACGCCGCGUGAGUGAUGAAGGUCUUCGGAUCGUAAAACUCUGUUAUUAGGGAAGAACAAAUGUGUAAGUAACUAUGCACGUCUUGACGGUACCUAAUCAGAAAGCCACGGCUAACUACGUG